This 468-nucleotide ribosomal RNA is filed under the name uncultured bacterium. RNAcentral describes it as "partial 16S ribosomal RNA". It matches the Rfam family "Bacterial small subunit ribosomal RNA", at positions 28 to 507 of the family's 1533-position model. The record is from RNAcentral.
GACGAACGCUGGCGGCGUGCUUAACACAUGCAAGUCGAACGGAAAGGCCCUGCUUUUGUGGGGUGCUCGAGUGGCGAACGGGUGAGUAACACGUGAGUAACCUGCCCUUGACUUUGGGAUAACUUCAGGAAACUGGGGCUAAUACCGGAUAGGAGCUCCUGCUGCAUGGUGGGGGUUGGAAAGUUUCGGCGGUUGGGGAUGGACCCGCGGCUUAUCAGCUUGUUGGUGGGGUAGUGGCUUACCAAGGCGAUGACGGGUAGCCGGCCUGAGAGGGUGACCGGCGAGGUGGGGACUGAGAGACGGCGCGGACUCCGACGGGAGGCAGCAGGGGGGAAUGUUGCGCAAUGGGCGGAAGCCUGACGCAGCGACGCCGCGUGGGGGAUGAGGGCCGUCGGGUUGGAAACCUCUGGCAGCAGGGACGAAGCGCAAGCGACGGGAAUUGCAGAAGAAGAACCGGACAACUACGUG